GCCUGCGUUGCACAGUGGUAGUGCGUGUCUUUCCUAUUAAGGGAUUGAGACAGGACAAGGUCGCGAGUUCGAUCCUCGUCGCGGGUU
This is a non-coding RNA of Naganishia cerealis, 87 nucleotides long. Lineage: Eukaryota; Fungi; Basidiomycota; Tremellomycetes; Filobasidiales; Filobasidiaceae. The record is from the annotation of a GenBank genome assembly.